UUGGCCAAAGAUUGCUCACAUCCCUAAUCUCGAGAUUCAACCUCCAGAGGAAUAUUUUCAAUUUCGCUUAUAUGGAGAGACAGAUUCAGGAGAAAGAGUAAUAUAAUAUAGAGGAUCUCAAGUUUCAAAUUUACCACAAAAAAUAUGUGAGAAUUACUAUUUAUUAAAUUGAAUUCUUUUCAUUUCUUAAAUGAUAGUAAUUCCAUGGUCUUGAUUAUUUUGCCUUCUAUUCUCAAUUCUUUUAUAUGAUUUUUCUAGAUUUUACUUUGAACUAUUUUAUAAGCAUAAAUAGAAAACCUCUCUAACAAAAUGUAAAUUACUCUUCAUCUUAUUUAAUGACGCAGUGAUACAUGUCUAGGGAGAUGGAUAUGCAAAGUGAAACAAUCUUGUGCUAUUUUUAAUUCUGGUAAGUUAGUGCUUCAAAAUCAAGAAUCCGAAGCUACUUUUGUCUUUAAUUAAAGGGGUUAAUUAGUUUGGUUCUCAUUCCUACAUGCAGGAGUUGGAAGCAUAAUUCUACAAAUUUGAUUAUUCUCCAUAUAGGCAAUUUAUAGUAAUCUAUUGAAUGGCAUUUGUACCUUUCAUUUGUUAAAUUCUAAUAGUUGAAGUGUUGAUUUAAGCUGUACAUAAUAAAUAAUUAUUUUAAAACAUUUAUUACAUAUAUGUAACAUUGAAAAUAGAACUUAUUUUUUAUAAUUUAUAAAUAAUAUUAGCUAAAUGAUCA
Molecule: unclassified non-coding RNA, 721 nt
Filed under: Hevea brasiliensis (rubber tree)
Lineage: Eukaryota; Viridiplantae; Streptophyta; Magnoliopsida; Malpighiales; Euphorbiaceae
Source: RNAcentral